AGGCUUAACACAUGCAAGUCGAGCGCCCCGCAGGGGAGCGGCAGACGGGUGAGUAACACGUGGGAAUCUACCCAUCCCUACGGAACAACUCCGGGAAACUGGAGCUAAUACCGUAUACGCCCUUCGGGGGAAAGAUUUAUCGGGGAUGGAUGAGCCCGCGUUGGAUUAGCUAGUUGGUGGGGUAAAGGCCUACCAAGGCGACGAUCCAUAGCUGGUCUGAGGGGAUGAUCAGCCACAUUGGGACUGAGACACGGCCCAAACUCCUACGGGAGGCAGCAGUGGGGAAUAUUGGACAAUGGGCGCAAGCCUGAUCCAGCCAUGCCGCGUGAGUGAUGAAGGCCUUAGGGUUGUAAAGCUCUUUCACCAA
RNAcentral lists this ribosomal RNA (367 nucleotides) under uncultured bacterium. RNAcentral's name for it is "bacterial SSU rRNA". It matches the Rfam family "Bacterial small subunit ribosomal RNA", at positions 44 to 442 of the family's 1533-position model. The record is from RNAcentral.